CCCUUCCCGAUUAAGCUGCAGAAAAAAAGAGAAUUAAGUGAAAGAUGAACUGUGUCAUUUGGUACCCACUGGUGCAUUUUGUCUUAUGCCAAGUCACAAGAAUUUCCAUACAUAGAUAAUGAAAUUGAUGUAAAAAUCAGCAAUACCUUGGAUUGGUCAUUCCCUUUGUAGCAAGGAGUCAAAUACAUUGAUAAUAAAUUUCAUUAAGAAUACCAUCCAACAACUAAAAACUAUCCACUAGUAAUAUGAGAUUAAUUAGUUACCAUGGACGGCCUUAAAGAAAAUAGUGCCCAAUAACUUAAGAAACUGUUCCUACAUUUUUGUCCAUUAUUUUGUCUCCAUAGCAUAUGCAGCUACCUUGUCAAGACAAAUUUCAACAUCCAGAGAAUUUAUAACAUAUUUCUGCAACUACCAGAACCCAAUAUUCUCAAACCCAAAGGCAAAAUCCAAAAAAGCACCCAUUCAUACCCAAUGACUAACAAAUUGUGGGCCAUUUUUG
RNAcentral lists this unclassified non-coding RNA (499 nucleotides) under Hevea brasiliensis (rubber tree). The record is from RNAcentral. Lineage: Eukaryota; Viridiplantae; Streptophyta; Magnoliopsida; Malpighiales; Euphorbiaceae.